RNAcentral lists this long non-coding RNA (267 nucleotides) under Carica papaya (papaya). RNAcentral describes it as "long non-coding RNA (CPAP_LNC002882)". Lineage: Eukaryota; Viridiplantae; Streptophyta; Magnoliopsida; Brassicales; Caricaceae. The record is from RNAcentral.
GAUAACAAGUAAGUAAGACAGUACAGAAAAACAAAUAGGACAUCAGGGCAAUUAUGAACUAACUGGUUCUGACUCCACUAGUGACCUGUAAUUAUUUUUAGAAUUUUUUAACUUUUCACAAAAAUACAAAAUUAUACAUCGUUAAGCCUUAAUUUACCGUAACAGGCAAUAUGGUCAAGGAUCCUUACCUGGAUCAAUUUUGAGACGUCACACUAUCUACUACGCCUCCUAACGAGUAUCGGGUUUCUUGAAUUUUUUCUGCAUAAU